This 301-nucleotide ribosomal RNA is filed under the name uncultured bacterium. RNAcentral's name for it is "partial 16S ribosomal RNA". It matches the Rfam family "Bacterial small subunit ribosomal RNA", at positions 509 to 809 of the family's 1533-position model. The record is from RNAcentral.
CAGUAGCCGCGGGAAUACCGAGGGUGCGAGCGUUAAUCGGAUUUACUGGGCGUAAAGCGUGCGUAGGCGGCUUCUUAAGUCGGAUGUGAAAUCCCUGAGCUUAACUUAGGAAUUGCAUUCGAUACUGGGAAGCUAGAGUAUGGGAGAGGAUGGUAGAAUUCCAGGUGUAGCGGUGAAAUGCGUAGAGAUCUGGAGGAAUACCGAUGGCGAAGGCAGCCAUCUGGCCUAAUACUGACGCUGAGGUACGAAAGCAUGGGGAGCAAACAGGAUUAGAUACCCCUGUAGUCCCUGUCUCUUAUCA